UGGGGAAUCUUCCGCAAUGGACGAAAGUCUGACGGAGCAACGCCGCGUGAGUGAAGAAGGUUUUCGGAUCGUAAAACUCUGUCUUUUGGGGCGAACGUGAGUAUGGUGAACAAUCAUAGUCAGUGACGGUACCAAAGGAGGAAGCCACGGCUAACUACGUGCCAGCAGCCGCGGUAAUACGUAGGUGGCAAGCGUUGUCCGGAAUUAUUGGGCGUAAAGAGCGCGUAGGCGGGAUAGUCAGUCUGUUGUAAAGUGCGGGGCUCAACCCCGUGAUCGCAAUGGAAACAGCUAUUCUUGAGUGCAGGAGAGGAAAGUGGAAUUCCCAGUGUAGCGGUGAAAUGCGUAGAUAUUGGGAGGAACACCAGUGGCGAAGGCGACUUUCUGGACUGUGUCUGACGCUGAGGCGCGAAAGCCGGGGGGAGCGAACGGGAUUUAGAUACCCCCGGUAGUCCUGGCCGUAAACGAUGGGUA
Molecule: ribosomal RNA, 471 nt
Filed under: uncultured bacterium
Lineage: Bacteria
Description: partial 16S ribosomal RNA
Rfam family: Bacterial small subunit ribosomal RNA
Source: RNAcentral